This 397-nucleotide ribosomal RNA is filed under the name uncultured bacterium. RNAcentral describes it as "partial 16S ribosomal RNA". It matches the Rfam family "Bacterial small subunit ribosomal RNA", at positions 523 to 918 of the family's 1533-position model. The record is from RNAcentral.
AUACGUAGGGGGCGAGCGUUGUCCGGAAUGAUUGGGCGUAAAGGGCGCGUAGGCGGCCUGUUAAGUCUGGAGUGAAAGUCCUGUUUUCAAGAUGGGAAUUGCUUUGGAUACUGAUGGGCUUGAGUGCAGGAGAGGUUAUCGGAAUUCCCGGUGUAGCGGUGAAAUGCGUAGAGAUCGGGAGGAACACCAGUGGCGAAGGCGGGUAACCGGACUGCAACUGACGCUGAGGCGCGAAAGUGUGGGGAGCAAACAGGAUUAGAUACCCUGGUAGUCCACACUGUAAACGAUGAAUGCUAGGUGUAAGAGGUAUCGACCCCUUUUGUGCCGGAGUUAACACAAUAAGCAUUCCGCCUGGGGAGUACGGCCGCAAGGUUGAAACUCAAAUGAAUUGACGGGG